This 488-nucleotide ribosomal RNA is filed under the name uncultured bacterium. RNAcentral describes it as "bacterial SSU rRNA". It matches the Rfam family "Bacterial small subunit ribosomal RNA", at positions 21 to 507 of the family's 1533-position model. The record is from RNAcentral.
GGCUCAGAUUGAACGCUGGCGGAAUGCUUUACACAUGCAAGUCGAACGGUAACAGGUUAAGCUGACGAGUGGCGAACGGGUCGAGUAAUGCAUCGGAACGUGCCCAGUCGUGGGGGAGUAACGCAGCGAAAGCUGUGCUAAUACCGCAUACGAUCUAUGGAUGAAAGCGGGGGACCGGUAAGGCCUCGCGCGAUUGGAGCGGCCGAUGUCAGAUUAGCUAGUUGGUGGGGUAAAAGCUCACCAAGGCGACGAUCUGUAGCUGGUCUGAGAGGACGACCAGCCACACUGGAACUGAGACACGGUCCAGACUCCUACGGGAGGCAGCAGUGGGGAAGUUUUGGACAAUGGGCGCAAGCCUGAUCCAGCAAUGCCGCGUGCAGGAUGAAGGCCUUCGGGUUGUAAACUGCUUUUGUACGGAGCGAAAAGGCUCUCUCUAAUACAGGGGGCUCAUGACGGUACCGUAAGAAUAAGCACCGGCUAACUACGUG